AAGUCAGACUGCUUGAACAGUUCAAUAUGCUAUUUAGUAUUUAUUUUUUUCUUGAAAUGUCAGUAAUAAAUGUAUCGGAAUAAUAAGACUUUAACUGUGGAAUCAUUUAUCAAAGUUACCCCAGAAAGAAGACAAAAUGUGCUGUUCUUGGCCAUGAAACUCUCGCGCUGAUACCCACCCACACCCUGACCGCGAGGGGGCGCGCCUCGGCUUACCCUCAGGUCCCCAGAUGUACCUGUGUAUGUGUGCAGCUACCGCCGCAUGAAGACGACGUUUAGGGCUGACUUGCUGUUGAGAUGUAGAUCUGUGGGACCGAGGGACUGCAUGAGUAGCUUGAGGAAAGGGAUGGAGUUCUGCAACCUCUAAUCUCUCCAAGGAACACUGGAGCAGGAUCUGGGACAUGAGUGCUGAGAUUGAGGGAGGCUGGGGCACGUAUAGAAAGAUCAAGUCACCUCAGUCACACCCCAGCCGUCGGGCAGAAGCUGACGCGGAAACCUGAGUCUGCAGGGCAACGACAGCCACUGUGAAUAAUUCCAUUUAUUAGCAUCCCCACCCCGCCUGGAAAUUACGCGGAUCCUCGCCCCGGCAGGCUGCAGCUUCCCCCACCGUGAUGCCUCUGAUUAACAGCCUCACU
Molecule: long non-coding RNA, 634 nt
Organism: Paramormyrops kingsleyae
Lineage: Eukaryota; Metazoa; Chordata; Actinopteri; Osteoglossiformes; Mormyridae
Source: RefSeq, a predicted model, not a curated record